AACGAACGCUGGCGGCAGGCCUAACACAUGCAAGUCGAGCGAGGACUUCGGUUCUAGCGGCGGACGGGUGAGUAACGCGUGGGAAUGUGCCCUUCUCUACGGAAUAGCCCUGGGAAACUGGGAGUAAUACCGUAUACGCCCUAUUGGGGAAAGAUUUAUCGGAGAAGGAUCAGCCCGCGUUGGAUUAGGUAGUUGGUGGGGUAAUGGCCUACCAAGCCGACGAUCCAUAGCUGGUUUGAGAGGAUGAUCAGCCACACUGGGACUGAGACACGGCCCAGACUCCUACGGGAGGCAGCAGUGGGGAAUCUUAGACAAUGGGGGCAACCCUGAUCGAGCCAUGCCGCGUGAGUGAUGAAGGCCUUAGGGUUGUAAAGCUCUAUCAGCUGGGAAGAUAAUGACGGUACCAGCAGAAGAAGCCCCGGCUAACUCCGUG
This 433-nucleotide ribosomal RNA is filed under the name uncultured bacterium. RNAcentral's name for it is "partial 16S ribosomal RNA". It matches the Rfam family "Bacterial small subunit ribosomal RNA", at positions 29 to 507 of the family's 1533-position model. The record is from RNAcentral.